AUUGCGGUAGUCUAAUCAGACAUCUGAUUUCGACUCAGAAGAACUUAACAUUUAAGCCCCAAUAA
RNAcentral lists this transfer RNA (65 nucleotides) under Pseudoxenodon bambusicola. RNAcentral's name for it is "tRNA-Arg". The record is from RNAcentral. Lineage: Eukaryota; Metazoa; Chordata; Lepidosauria; Squamata; Pseudoxenodontidae.